CUUGAUUUUAUAAAAAAAAAAAAAAAAAGGGAAUUGUUCUUUCGAAAAAACAACUUAAACUCUAUAAGAUAUUUCCCUAUCGUAUAUUCUUUUGUCUCUGCACCCCCUUUUGCAGUAAUUUACAUACAGUAACUUUAGCGAACACACAACAGUAUCAUCCUUCUCCUCCUGGUGUUGUUCAUAGCAAAUAAAAAAAUAUAAAAAAAUAAACAAAUACAAUCCAUAAAUAAAAAAAUAACAACGUAACAAAACCUUCUGAUCUGGCACCUAGGUAACUAAAUA
RNAcentral lists this long non-coding RNA (282 nucleotides) under Mytilus galloprovincialis (Mediterranean mussel). Lineage: Eukaryota; Metazoa; Mollusca; Bivalvia; Mytilida; Mytilidae. The record is from RNAcentral.